GACGAACGCUGGCGGCGUGCUUAACACAUGCAAGUCGAACGGCAAGGCCCUGCUUUUGCUGGCUGCUCGAGUGGCGAACGGGUGAGUAACACGUGAGUAACCUGCCCUUGACUUUGUGAUAACUUCAGGAAACUGGGGCUAAUACCGGAUAGGAGCUCCUGCUGCAUGGUGGGGGUUGGACAUUUUCGGCUGUUGGGGCUGGACUGCGGGGUUAUUAGCUUGUUGGGUGGGUAGUUGCUUACCGAGGCUUCGACGGGUAGCCGGCCUGGGAGGGGGGCCGGGCACAAUAGGACUGCGGUAGGGCGCAGACUCCAACGGGAGGCAGCGGUGGGAACUCUUGCCCAAUGAGCGGGAGCCUGAGAAAGCGACGCCGGGGGCGGAAUGCCGGCCUUCGGGGUGUAAACCGCUUUCGCCUGAGACGAAGCGUGAGUGACGGUACUGGGUAAAGAAGCACCGGCUAACUACGUG
RNAcentral lists this ribosomal RNA (468 nucleotides) under uncultured bacterium. Its description in RNAcentral is "partial 16S ribosomal RNA". It matches the Rfam family "Bacterial small subunit ribosomal RNA", at positions 28 to 507 of the family's 1533-position model. The record is from RNAcentral.